Molecule: ribosomal RNA, 895 nt
Filed under: Staphylococcus aureus
Lineage: Bacteria; Bacillati; Bacillota; Bacilli; Caryophanales; Staphylococcaceae
Description: bacterial SSU rRNA
Source: RNAcentral
AGGAGUUUGAUUCAUGGCUCAGGAUGAACGCUGGCGGCGUGCCUAAUACAUGCAAGUCGAGCGAACGGACGAGAAGCUUGCUUCUCUGAUGUUAGCGGCGGACGGGUGAGUAACACGUGGAUAACCUACCUAUAAGACUGGGAUAACUUCGGGAAACCGGAGCUAAUACCGGAUAAUAUUUUGAACCGCAUGGUUCAAAAGUGAAAGACGGUCUUGCUGUCACUUAUAGAUGGAUCCGCGCUGCAUUAGCUAGUUGGUAAGGUAACGGCUUACCAAGGCAACGAUGCAUAGCCGACCUGAGAGGGUGAUCGGCCACACUGGAACUGAGACACGGUCCAGACUCCUACGGGAGGCAGCAGUAGGGAAUCUUCCGCAAUGGGCGAAAGCCUGACGGAGCAACGCCGCGUGAGUGAUGAAGGUCUUCGGAUCGUAAAACUCUGUUAUUAGGGAAGAACAUAUGUGUAAGUAACUGUGCACAUCUUGACGGUACCUAAUCAGAAAGCCACGGCUAACUACGUGCCAGCAGCCGCGGUAAUACGUAGGUGGCAAGCGUUAUCCGGAAUUAUUGGGCGUAAAGCGCGCGUAGGCGGUUUUUUAAGUCUGAUGUGAAAGCCCACGGCUCAACCGUGGAGGGUCAUUGGAAACUGGAAAACUUGAGUGCAGAAGAGGAAAGUGGAAUUCCAUGUGUAGCGGUGAAAUGCGCAGAGAUAUGGAGGAACACCAGUGGCGAAGGCGACUUUCUGGUCUGUAACUGACGCUGAUGUGCGAAAGCGUGGGGAUCAAACAGGAUUAGAUACCCUGGUAGUCCACGCCGUAAACGAUGAGUGCURAGUGUUAGGGGGUUUCCGCCCCUUAGUGCUGCAGCUAACGCAUUAAGCACUCCGCCCCUGGGGRG